AGGCACAGUGAAGCCACAGAGCCAGAGUCGCUGCAGCCCCCGCUGCACCAUUGACAAGCCAGGACUCACACGGUCAACUCCUCGGGCCUAGAAAACAGCAGAAAGGGAAAGACAUAUGGAGCACAUCCUGGCCUUGGUCUGUGAUCAAUGGGGACGUCCAGCCGCAGAGAUGUAGGGCUGCAGUGAGGUUCCUGAGGGUGAAGAAGUCUGUUCUCUGCAGACAGCUGAGGAGAGAAAAGCAGAAAGUGGUGAAGUAUCUGAAGGAGAAGAGGAGAGGAGCAUGCCUGCUUCGAGCUCUGUGUGAGCAGAUGAGGAACACACUUAAACACAUGCCUGG
RNAcentral lists this long non-coding RNA (337 nucleotides) under Homo sapiens (human). RNAcentral describes it as "non-protein coding lnc-SHC3-9:2". Lineage: Eukaryota; Metazoa; Chordata; Mammalia; Primates; Hominidae. The record is from RNAcentral.